Molecule: small nuclear RNA, 107 nt
Organism: Phyllostomus discolor (pale spear-nosed bat)
Lineage: Eukaryota; Metazoa; Chordata; Mammalia; Chiroptera; Phyllostomidae
Source: RefSeq, a predicted model, not a curated record
GUGCUCAGUUUGGUAGUACAUAUGGUAAAAUUGGAAGAAUACAGAGAAGAUUAGUAUGACCCCUGCCCAAGGAUGACAAGCAAAUUUGUGAAGUGUUCCAUAUUUUU